GAAGUAAAAUUCGUAACAAGGUCUCCGUUGGUGAACCAGCGGAGGGAUCAUUA
This 53-nucleotide ribosomal RNA is filed under the name Ophiostoma brunneolum. RNAcentral's name for it is "partial 18S ribosomal RNA". It matches the Rfam family "Eukaryotic small subunit ribosomal RNA", at positions 1779 to 1831 of the family's 1831-position model. Lineage: Eukaryota; Fungi; Ascomycota; Sordariomycetes; Ophiostomatales; Ophiostomataceae. The record is from RNAcentral.